AUUGAACGCUGGCGGCAGGCCUAACACAUGCAAGUCGAGCGGUAGAGAGGUGCUUGCAUCUCUUGAGAGCGGCGGACGGGUGAGUAAUGCCUAGGAAUCUGCCUAGUGGUGGGGGAUAACGUUCGGAAACGGACGCUAAUACCGCAUACGUCCUACGGGAGAAAGCGGGGGAUCUUCGGACCUCGCGCCAUUAGAUGAGCCUAGGUCGGAUUAGCUAGUUGGUGAGGUAAUGGCUCACCAAGGCGACGAUCCGUAACUGGUCUGAGAGGAUGAUCAGUCACACUGGAACUGAGACACGGUCCAGACUCCUACGGGAGGCAGCAGUGGGGAAUAUUGGACAAUGGGCGAAAGCCUGAUCCAGCCAUGCCGCGUGUGUGAAGAAGGUCUUCGGAUUG
This 395-nucleotide ribosomal RNA is filed under the name uncultured bacterium. Its description in RNAcentral is "bacterial SSU rRNA". It matches the Rfam family "Bacterial small subunit ribosomal RNA", at positions 30 to 425 of the family's 1533-position model. The record is from RNAcentral.